CCAAUAGCGUAUAUUAAAGUUGUUGCAGUUAAAAAGCUCGUAGUUGAAUUUCGGGAUCAGUACGCUGGUCGUGCCUUCGGUAUGUACUGGUGUUACUGGUUCCUACCUUCUGACGAACCGUCAUGUCAUUAAUUUGGUGUGGCGGGAAAUCAGGACUGUUACUUUGAAAAAAUUAGAGUGUUUAAAGCAGGCUCGCGCUUGAAUACAUUAGCAUGAAAUAAUGAAAUAGGACGUUCGAUCCUAUUUUGUUGGUUUCUAGGAUUGACGUAAUGAUUAAUAGGGAUAGUUGGGGGCAUUAGUAUUCAAUUGUCAGAUGUGAAAUUCUUGGAUUUAUUGAAGACUAACUACUGCGAAAGCAUUUGCCAAGGAUGUUUUCAUUAAUCAAGAACGAAAGUUAGGGGAUCGAAGACGAUCAGAUACCGUCGUAGUCUUAACCAUAAACUAUGCCGACUAGGGAUCGGAUGAUGUUAUUUUUAAUGACUCAUUCGGCGCCUUACG
Molecule: unclassified non-coding RNA, 498 nt
Filed under: uncultured Glomus
Lineage: Eukaryota; Fungi; Glomeromycota; Glomeromycetes; Glomerales; Glomeraceae
Description: SSU rRNA
Rfam family: Eukaryotic small subunit ribosomal RNA
Source: RNAcentral